Molecule: long non-coding RNA, 1003 nt
Filed under: Gopherus agassizii (Agassiz's desert tortoise)
Lineage: Eukaryota; Metazoa; Chordata; Testudines; Testudinidae
Description: lncRNA (ENSGAGG00000021145.1)
Source: RNAcentral
CCAUUUCUGCUCCCUCUCAUAUUCCAGCUGCAUCCGCUCCACGGAUGCCGAACGUCGCCGGGAGGAUCCCCUGCUGGCCAGGGGGUGUCACGGUGCCCUCAGUAUUCACUGGGCUCCUCCUCACCCUUCCCCUAGGCCUAGGAAGGGGGGUCUCGGGAAGCCCUCGUCCGCCGGCUGACCAGUCCCAGCGGGGACAGACACUGGUGCCUGCACUGCAUCUGCCCGGCUGCUUCCCUCAGAGACAGGGCUCCGUUCAUUCAAGCGAUCUCCCUCCUCCAGCUGGGCAAUCAGCUGGUCCUUGCUGAGCCUCCCCGGGCGCAGCCCUCUCUGCUUGCACAGCUCCAGCAGGUCGCACUUGCGCAGCUUGGCAUACAUUGUCCUGCUGGCCACUCACAGGGCAGGGUGCUCGCCGCUCCCCACGGUUUCCAGGGGGACCCCUAGUGCACCAGCCCUUCUUGAGGUCACCACCUCUCUGCCAGGGUCGAGCUGUAGACUCCUCCGCCCCUGGGACCGCUUGCUGCAAUCCCCUGGGGGACCCUGUUACUGCAAAGUCCUUCUCACUGGGCACACACUCCCAGGGGUUAACCACCCCUUCGUUUUACUGCUCCCCAGUCACUUACUGCAGGAAGCGUCGUCCACGGGGUGCAGUAUCUCCCACCGCUGCCACCAGUUGUCACGGAGUGUGGGGGAGUCCAGCCCUGCACCCCUCUUCCUGGGACCCACAGUGACUCUCAGCCAGCCAGUAAAACAGAAGGUUUAUUGGACAACAGGAACACAGGUUACAGCAGAGCUUGCAGGCACAGUCAGGACCCCUCCACCGAGUCCUUCUGGGCUUUCAGGGUGCUUGGAUCCUAGCUAGGAUACCCUGAAUUCCGCCCACACAGCCCCAAGCCCAAACUCAAACUGCUUCCCUCCUGCCACUCCCUUCCUUUGUCCCCUUCCCGGGCAAAGGUGUUGACCUUUCCCCUCCCUUACCUAGCUCAGGUUACAGGCCCUGGCAUCG